AGCGAACGCUGGCGGCAGGCCUAACACAUGCAAGUCGAACGAACUCUUCGGAGUUAGUGGCGGACGGGUGAGUAACACGUGGGAACGUGCCUUUAGGUUCGGAAUAACUCAGGGAAACUUGUGCUAAUACCGAAUGUGCCCUUCGGGGGAAAGAUUUAUCGCCUUUAGAGCGGCCCGCGUCUGAUUAGCUAGUUGGUGAGGUAAAGGCUCACCAAGGCUACGAUCAGUAGCUGGUCUGAGAGGAUGACCAGCCACAUUGGGACUGAGACACGGCCCAAACUCCUACGGGAGGCAGCAGUGGGGAAUCUUGCGCAAUGGGCGAAAGCCUGACGCAGCCAUGCCGCGUGGAUGAUGAAGGUCUUAGGAUUGUAAAAUCCUUUCACCGGUGAAGAUAAUGACUGUAGCCGGAGAAGAAGCCCCGGCUAACUUCGUG
Molecule: ribosomal RNA, 433 nt
Filed under: uncultured bacterium
Lineage: Bacteria
Description: bacterial SSU rRNA
Rfam family: Bacterial small subunit ribosomal RNA
Source: RNAcentral